CUCCUUCAGAUUGAAGUGAGAUGCCACGAGGUCAAGCAGCUCCUUGGCCAAAAGCUUGGGCUGGAGGGAGAACAAAAUGGAAAAAGGGUGAGGACACAGUGAGAAGGCUGCCAUCUACAAGUCAGGAAGAGAGCCCUCAUAGAGCCCGACCAGGCUGGCACCCAGACCUCGAACUUGCAGCCUCCAGAACUUCACGUGAAGUCCAGUCUGGUGAAUGGUGACAGAGGUGGCGGAGGUGAGGAGCACAUUGGAUCAAGCCGGUUUUAUAAAACGAGGUACUUUGAACUUGGUUAAUGUGAGUCUUCCCCCGAGGAUGAACAAUCGAGUUUCUGCAAUGCAGAGCUAGGGGACUGACUUGACAUGCUGAAAAAUUCACCAGAAUAAUGGAUGUCACCUUAGGAGCCUUGUUGACACUGACUUUUGGCUUCUCCAUGGUGACACAUCCCUAUGAUUUAGCCUGUCACCGCAAUCCUUUUUUACAUUGGAACUUCUACAGUAAAAAACCAAAUUUUCUUGGGGACGCAUACACUGAACGCAGCUAAAAGGAUCUGAGCAAUAGCAGCAUCCCUCAAAUAAACUUUAUCAUCUCAGCCUAACUCUUUUCAAGGAUAGGAUCCGUUUGGAUGCAUAUCUUUGGUCAAAAAAUAAAAAAAGGUGGGCUUGCCUGGUGGCGUAGUGGUUGGGAAUCCGCCUGCCGAUUCAGGGGACACGGGUUCGAGCCCUGGUCUGGGAGGAUCCCACAUGCCGCAGAGCAGCUGGGCCCGUGAGCAACAACUACUGAGGCUGCGCUCUAGAGCCUGCGAGCCACAACUACUGAGCCCGUGUGCCACAACUACUGAAGCCCGCGUGCCUGGAGCCCAGGCUCUGCAACAAGAGAAGCCACUGCAAUGAGAAGCCCGUACACUGCAAUGAAGAGUGGCCCCCGCUCUCCACGACUAGAGAAAGCCCGCACACAGCAACGA
Long non-coding RNA from Balaenoptera acutorostrata (minke whale), 962 nucleotides. RefSeq lists it as uncharacterized. The record is from RefSeq and is a predicted model, not a curated record. The transcript is spliced from 4 exons. Lineage: Eukaryota; Metazoa; Chordata; Mammalia; Artiodactyla; Balaenopteridae.